UGCUUUGCUUUUGCAGGGUUUAUCUAGGGUUUUGCCGCUUCCAGUAAAAUCCCCAAAUCCUUUGCAGCUGAAUUCCAAUUCCAAAAAUCUAGCCUUCACUAAUGGAGGGAUUGAGUAAAUCAGAUGCUAAUUUGAUAGUUUACGUGCAUCCAUCGCAGAGCAAGAAUGUUGAUAAAGCAAUCCUCCGUGAACUCAGCUCUUUGCUCUUCAAGUAUUCUCAAGCAUUUGAUGGAGUUGUCUUGGCUUAUAGUGUUGACCCUCAAGAUAAAUGUGCGAGAAUUCUCUCUGGGGUUCACCCUUAUUUCGGUGUCAGACUUCGAGCAAACCUGCUAAUCUUCUCUCCGAAGCCGAACAUGCUUUUAGAGGGAAAGGUGGUGAAAAUUACUCGGGAAUCUAUUCAUUGCAUUGUUCUUGGUUUUUCAUCUGCAAUUAUAACAGAUGAAAAUAUCCGCAACGAGUUAAAGUAUAAAGCUAAACAUGGGGAGGGGGUAUAUGUUAGCAGAUAUCACAAGCGGCAUGUGAUAAAGGUUGGAGCUGUGAUACGUUUUGAAGUCAAGAGGUGACAUAUUAUUGUUUUUAUUGUUAUAUUUUAGAAUAGCUUGAUCUCUGUGAAACACAUGGUCCUUUUCCUUCCUGGUAUAAUCUGCUCAUCCCAAUCACUUGCAUGUACAAGUAUGACACACAUAAACACGGACUUUAAACUGAUUUCAUUAAGGUUUCUAAAUUCAUUUUGGAUGGUCUUGCUCCUAAAAAGAUACAUAACCCUUUAAUUAACUUUCAUUUUAACAUUAAUAUCUAAAUAGAAAAGAUAUCAAUAUGGAAGAGAGAUCAACCAAUCAACUUUCAGUAACAUAGUUGUCCAUGGGCAUCUGUAGUGCAUCUGCUUAAUCAUUGGAAUGUUUAUUGUGGAGAGUUUGACACCCAAUUGUUCAGAUUUUAUUUGCUUGGAAGAUUGUGUGUGGAUAGGAAGAUAGAUAGGACUAAUGGUUGCUCAGUCAGGCCCUACUUUAGUGCUAGCAAUUUUUUUUUUUUUUAAAAAAAAAAACAGAGAGAAGAAGAGAACAACUAUAAUGUGCAAAGCAUUCUUUAUCAACAAUCAAAUACUUCUGUUUCAGGCAUUAACAUAUAUGUGAUUUUUGCUAACUCUAGUUACUUGGUCAUAUUUUAUCUUUGCAAGAAUUGCAAGAGGUUCACGAUGGUGAACAGGAUACCAUGUAACUUUUCCUUUUGGUUUUAAUUUGAAAAGCUUUAUGACAAGACAUGCAUGGUUUACUUCUGUCCUUAGUCUAAUAGACAGACUGAAAAUUGUGGAGGAAACAUUUGACACUUUGGUGCUGGUGGAUAUUUUAAAUCCCAUCAAGCUUGGAUUUUUUUUGUCUUAUAAUUUUGAAAAUUUGGUUUCACUCUUCAAUGCCUUUAGUUAUACUGGCUUUAUGAUACAAGUAAUUCUUCCUCUGACUACGAUAAAUUGUUUGGAGUCUCAGCAUAUCCAAUCGAAUCAUGCUUCUCUUUCCUGCAGGGGGGGCAUGCCAAACUCACUGCUGCAUGCUCCCCUGUCAUGAAAUUGGAUUAAUUGAGUAAUUUUACUGAGAUGUAUACAGCAUAAAAUAGAAUUUAGUUUAUUCGGAUACUAUCCAUUGUACAUGACUCGGUAAAGAUCCUGUAAGUGUUUGGAUUUGGUUAAUUUUUGCAGUUUGGAUGAGGAAAUGCUGCACAUUUCAGGAUCCUUGAUUCCAGCUAAAUACUGGAAGUGUCCAUUGGUUAUGCUCCCCUGUCAUGAAAUUGGAUUAAUUGAGUAAUUUUACUGAGAUCUACACAGCAUAAAGUAGAUUUUAGUUUAUUCGUAUACUAUCCAUUGUACAUGACUCGAUAAAGAUCCUGUAAGCAUUUGGAUUUGGUUAAUUUUUGCAGUUUGGAUGAGGAAAUACUGCACAUUUCAGGAUCCUUGAUUCCAGCUAAUACUGGAAGUGUCCAUUGGUUAUGCUCCCCUGUCAUGAAAUUGGGUUAAUUGAGUAAUUUUACUGAGACCUACACAGCAUAAAGUAGAUUUUAGUUUAUUCGUAUACUAUCCAGUGUACAUGACUCCAUAAAGAUCUUGUAAGUGUUUGGAUUUGUUUAAUUUUUGCAGUUUGGAUGAGGAAAUACUGCACAUUUCAGGAUCCUUGAUUCCAGCUAAUACUGGAAGUGUCCAUUGGUUAGACAAAUAUUUUGUUGAUGCUGCAACUGACAGUAAUAAGGAGACAAAGACUAAGGAAGAAAUGGAAA
Populus nigra (black poplar) is the source of this 2265-nucleotide RNA transcript. RefSeq lists it as uncharacterized. The record is from RefSeq and is a predicted model, not a curated record. Lineage: Eukaryota; Viridiplantae; Streptophyta; Magnoliopsida; Malpighiales; Salicaceae. The transcript is spliced from 5 exons.